RNAcentral lists this transfer RNA (23 nucleotides) under Ceuthomantis smaragdinus. Its description in RNAcentral is "partial tRNA-Phe". The record is from RNAcentral. Lineage: Eukaryota; Metazoa; Chordata; Amphibia; Anura; Craugastoridae.
CGAACCAUGACAAGUUCUUUAAA